Talpa occidentalis (Iberian mole) is the source of this 765-nucleotide long non-coding RNA. RefSeq lists it as uncharacterized. The record is from RefSeq and is a predicted model, not a curated record. The transcript has 3 exons. Lineage: Eukaryota; Metazoa; Chordata; Mammalia; Eulipotyphla; Talpidae.
AAUUCCCUUCCUGUGCUUCUAGACUGUGUUACUCUCUUUUUAUACUCUGUGCUACAACCAUCCUGGUCAUGUUUCAGUUCCUCCAGCAAGAGGAUAUGAUAUGAGAACGUAUCAUAUCCUUCAUUCAGGAAUGACUGGUGACCUCUUCCUGGGAUUUAAAUCCCAACUCUAUCAAUAAACCCAUGACUGCUUUUCUUGUCAGCUGGUCUCCUGGUUUGAAGCUGUUGGCAGAAGCUGUGCCUUCAAGUUUACUAGGGCCCAUCCUUUGCCUUCUGGUGGAACAUUCCCUUGAGGAAAUCAGGACCUGUAGACCGCAGGACUUAAGAUAAUCGUUAUGAGCCUAACAGCGCUCCUGCACUGAUUCCCCAGCUUCACAACCUGGUCUCUAUGCCUACCAGCUGAUGGAGAAGGGUCUCUGCUCAGAGCCUCUGCCUUUGUGUGCACGUGGGCUCUGCAGCCCAAGUCACGUCAGUCUCCUUUGUGUGGGUUUUGAGAGUCUGAGAUAUUUUCUGCAAAGCAUGUCCCUUCAAGUCGUCCCUGGUAAUCAUCGACAAUUUCAUCUCUUAUAUCUAAUUCCCCACAUACCAGCUUCUAAUUGUAUGUGCAAGGUUAUUUUUAAAAAUUUUUCUGAGCUCUUGAUUGAAAGUAUUUAAAGAACUUUCUAGGGACCUUGUAAGCUCAGGGCAAAAUAAACCCAUAGAGUCUUUUCAUUCUAAGUUCUGCAUUGAUAUCUAGUCUAGGUCAAGAAUGAGUGACAGCAACAAC